UGUGCUUUCCCCCAUUAUCUCCCAGCCUUCUUUCCUUUUCGCCUCUACUCAAGGCUGUGUCCACAAUUAAGCUCUCAGGGGGAGGAGGCCUCCAGCUGCCUCAAGGAAGGGCAUUUCUCGCAGUGCAAAGUGCGGAAGAGGGGAGCCAUACCGACUGAAAUCUUAACCAGAGUCGGUUUGCAUAGAGGCUGCAAUGGAUAGAAUCUCAGAAGUGAGGCGGAAAGACAGGCCAGCCCUGCGAAAGAUGGAUUGGAGAGAGCUUCCCUCACUCAACUCUAGAGAUACUGGACUUAAGGAAAUGUCCCCAUAGAACGCUGAGCCUUUCACCUCCUCUUUGCUCGUCUCACGGCUUUGUUAGACACGAAACCAUCUUCUGGAAAAUGUCUUCCCUGACACCUCUCCUACUUUUCUGAGUUUGGGUUGCUUUCCUCCUAGCACUCACGGAGAUCCAGGCACAAAAUUGCCUUGUAUUCAAGUUCCAAGUACCAACCAGCCUUCCACGUGUUGUUGUUUCAAAGAUAACUCUAUUUGCAAAGCCUUUACGCUACUGUUCAGAGAUUUCCGGAGUGUGUGCAACUUCAGUGAGGACUGGAAAGUGGGCCAUUGCGCAGUUCAGCUCUCAGGCUCUUUGUAGGUCUUUUACCAGUGAAGCAUUCAAGAUGGCUGGUACUUCCUCGUUUUCUUCGACAGGUGACUAAUGAAGCCGUUCUCCACGUUGUACUGUAUGGACAUGCGGCCCCAAGUGACAACAUCGAUCCCACUACCUCUCACAUGCUAAGCGAGUACUCUACCACUUGAGCUCAUUCGUCACCUACCGCAAAACUUUCUGCCCUUUCCUUUAUUCAGGAGUAGAUGUGCGCGAUUACCACCAUUUCUUGCGUCUCGGAACAAAGGAAAUGUCUGGAUUAUUAAUGGGGAACCAGGACUCGACCUAAGGCGAGUCUACUCAAAAAUGGCCAAGGGCAAGGGCAUGAUGGCUAUUCCUCUGCGAGGGAGAGGGGAAAACGUAACCAGGAGAAAGUGGACACUGGAAAAGUCUGGUGCUGUAAGAUUUCACGUUCCAGAUUUUCAGGGAGAGAAGCGAGCACGUCCCAGCUGGGGAGCGCCCGCCCAGAGCGGCCUGCUAAUUUGGCACAGCUAUCCCAGGAUGACGAUCUUUCUUUUAAAAGAGGCGGGAUAAUCACUUGUUCCUUGCAGCUCUGGACUCCCGGGAAGAAGCGGCCACUCCCGGUCAGAUUCUGGGAGACCAGAGAAACCUGUUGUUUCCGUUGAGUUUCAAAUAGAGGACCUUCCAUGUGUUAGGCCAGCGUGGUAACUACUACACCAU
This 1327-nucleotide long non-coding RNA is filed under the name Homo sapiens (human). Its description in RNAcentral is "HSALNT0334800". Lineage: Eukaryota; Metazoa; Chordata; Mammalia; Primates; Hominidae. The record is from RNAcentral.